CUCUCCCUCAGAUUUUGCUGAGACAUCCUUCCUUACACCUACUGUUGGAUCAUCAUCCCCUGCCCUACAUCGACACUAGGUUCUAUAGCUGGAGAGCAUCACCCAAGACCAUCUGCUUUCCCUCACACACCAGCAAUGCCUUACAGUUUUUCUACAGAGGGAGUUAUAGAUCAGAUUAUGGAUCAGAUGGGCAGGAUGUUUGUUGACUUCAAGUCUCAGAUCUUGGAGAGCCACAUUGCACUUCAAGAGCACACUCAAUCACAGUUUCAAUAGCUUCAUGAUGACUUGC
RNAcentral lists this long non-coding RNA (289 nucleotides) under Elaeis guineensis (African oil palm). Its description in RNAcentral is "long non-coding RNA (EGUI_LNC028019)". The record is from RNAcentral. Lineage: Eukaryota; Viridiplantae; Streptophyta; Magnoliopsida; Arecales; Arecaceae.